Molecule: non-coding RNA, 327 nt
Organism: Paramuricea clavata
Lineage: Eukaryota; Metazoa; Cnidaria; Anthozoa; Malacalcyonacea; Plexauridae
Source: the annotation of a GenBank genome assembly
CACUUUUCCACCUCAUCUUGACCAGCCACAUUUUCAUCCCUUCCAAUGUGAUUGCUGACGUCUUGAAUUAAAACAUGAAACUACGAUGUAUCGAAACAAGUUUCUAAUAGUUUGUUUCACAGUUAGUGUAAGCGUCAGGGCUCGAAUUUUAUCGCGGCAAUUGUCGUAGAGGGAGAACAAAAUGCCGUGGAUCACUGCGGCAACGACGGCAAUUUUUUGCCGUGUAGUGCAAUUUUUAUACUAUUCACUGUGCAUUACUACUUUGAUACUUGAAUUCAGAUGUUGAUCAAAUCAUGCGUAAAUCACUAUUUUAGUCUCAGUUUUCUU